This 253-nucleotide ribosomal RNA is filed under the name uncultured bacterium. RNAcentral's name for it is "partial 16S ribosomal RNA". It matches the Rfam family "Bacterial small subunit ribosomal RNA", at positions 524 to 776 of the family's 1533-position model. The record is from RNAcentral.
UACGAAGGGGGCUAGCGUUGCUCGGAAUUACUGGGCGUAAAGCGUGCGUAGACGGUUAUUUAAGUCGGGUGUGAAAGCCCCGGGCUCAACCUGGGAAUUGCAUUCGAGACUGAAUAGCUAGGGUACGGUAGAGGGAAGUGGAAUUUCGUGUGUAGGGGUGAAAUCCGUAGAUCUACGAAGGAACGCCAAAAGCGAAGGCAGCUCUCUGGGUCCCUACCGACGCUGGGGUGCGAAAGCAUGGGGAGCGAACAGG